GACAACGCAUCUCAUUCCUGGCGGCCCACGGUGGGACGCGGUAAUAUGUGCGUGCUCGCUUUCCACUGGCUUUGGAGUACUUUCACAUUAUGCAAACGCUGUCCGGGCUGUGAAUAACACUGUGCGGUGAAUCUGAAUCGUAAUUCUUGUGCUCAUUCUGGGAUUUGGCGUCGGCUUGAGCUUCCAUCCUCGUGGUAGAUCAACUUCAACCUGACACACGUACUGUUCAAUCAACGUCCGCGAUAUGAAAAACCCUCCACGAGCACUUAGAACACCAUGUGAGAAGACACACCGUGGAAAGCACCAUGGGUCACCAUGUGAUCUCCCGUGUGCGCAUAGGCGCCGGCCGAUUCUCUAUCUGCCGUAGCACAUCUGGCUGGUCACUCCGUCGUGUCGUUGUGGUGCGCUGCUCCGGACCGGCGCACAGGAACGUGACAGAAUCCCCACUGACUCCUCGCGUCUCUGCUCUAGUUGCUGUCUGGUGGUUCUGAGAGAAAGCGCCGCAGGUACCGCCGCCCGCUGGCAGCUCUCGUCACAUGACAGUGGGGCAGACCGUGUGUCGCUGAUUGGAUAGAACGCUAGUUUAAAUUGAGCAAAAGGAGAACAAAGCACAACGUGUUGUGUUGUGGUUGUUAUUUUUCUGACGCGUUCAAAGCAUCUGGUGGGGUUGUUUAAAGGUUGCAUCAGAUGCACUUAACUCGACCAGGGAAGGUAGAAACUCAAUUGUGUUGCUGUUUUUCAUAAGGACAGCCUGUGCAAUUGCUUGAAAAAGCCUUUGUCUUUUGCUGUGUGAAUAUCUUAUCUGUGCAUUCAACACCAUUUGAUUUCUUUGUGAUAUACCGUUGUAUGGUUGUUUUGGUGGUCAGGCAUCUCUUCUUGCUUCACACUUUGUUUGACUAUUGCAUUUUUCACACACUUUAGAGAGAUCCAGGUGAGUCUAUUCAACAUGACCACGCUGCAGUCUAAAGCGUUUGCAUUUACGCUGAGCACGCAGCUUCCACAGAUUGUCCACCCC
Molecule: long non-coding RNA, 1015 nt
Organism: Gasterosteus aculeatus aculeatus (three-spined stickleback)
Lineage: Eukaryota; Metazoa; Chordata; Actinopteri; Perciformes; Gasterosteidae
Source: Ensembl